UGGCAGGAUACUGCUAGCACACCCACGUAAAACCCAAGCACGCGGCCAAUGAAGCGGAGAGUACUUCGCGCGCACGCUAAUAAGCGCUGCCUGCGCAUCUUGUCCGCUUCGCAUCUCAUUCAAACAUCGUCUUCUUCCUUUUUGUCCUCGGCGGCCAGCGGCGACCGUGGCUACGCUGUCUUGUGCGAUGCGUCCUUCCUUCGAGCGGUUCUCCUGUCGUACUGGCAGGCCAACGCGCCUGCCAUAUGGCGCGAGGCUCGUCGCCGCAAGCUGCGUAAGGCCGCCGCUGUUACCAGCGCAAACGAGUCCACGCGCGCGGGCGUGUCGUCGGAGAUCCCAGCGCCACUUGCGGCGGACAAGAUCGCAGCGGCCACCGCGGCCAGCAUCGCACGGCUGCCGUUUGGUGACUUGCCGGCGCUCUCCCCUCACGCCUUCCUUGUGGCACUGCUGUGCGACGCUUUUCAGGGCGAGCGUGGAAUCCGAUCGGUGAGCGGCAACUCUGCAGCAGCUGUGGCGGCCGCGACGCCACCUGUCGACUUCACCUCAGCUUCCAAGUUUCACUGCUACUGCUUACCGGAGACCGUGGCGGCCCUCCACCGCAUGCGCUAUCACGGCCCAACCUCGGCAGUCUCCGCGACGGCCUUGGCGAACCCGUGCCCGCCAAACUCGAGUGUCGUCGACGCUUCGUUGACCAGAGCGCAGAAGAAGAGCGGCGCCAAUUCGAAGCGGCAGAGACCACCCACUCCUCUGCCGUCGACAACGUCGCCGCGGUCGGAGCAGCACCAUCGGAUGACCGAAACGGAAGCGUGGCUGUCUGCGUCGUUUGGCAACUUAGCAACGAUGCGCGACAGCAACGGCGACGGCGUCGGCGCGCGACGGCACGCUGGGCCGUCCCCCUCCUCCGCCGCCUUCCCGCUAACAUUCCAGGAGGUGCCGGCGGCGGUGGUGAACCACCUGCUGAGCCGCAUCACGCUGAUUCAGUCCGAGGAGCAGCGGCAUCGUGAUGCUGCCGCCGUUGAGAGUCCUGAAGUAAGCAGGUCGCCGGAGAUGGCCGACGGUGCCCCGCUACCCACGCGCAACGAGUGCAGGGCCAUUGGUGAGUUUAUGCUUGCUAACGAUAGCCUCCUCGGUCGUGGCCCACGUGAGGGCGUUGACGCCUCUGCGUGUGACCCGAGUGCUCUGCGACUGGCCUCGAUGCCGUUGUUUCGCGACCACCGCGUGGCGACGUACUCGCCACAGGGCGCCGCGGCAAAGCGCCGCCGCCGGCGCCGCAGGAACCGCACGGCCGCCGGCGGCGGCGAUGACGUGGGCGAAUUACCGAGUCUCGCUACGGCGAAUGCAGCGCUUGCAGGGCCGCAAGAAGCGCGAGGGAACGGUGCCAGUGCGACCCCCUCCACCACAUCACGCCCAUAUUCUCCCCGCACAUUCUUUGUGGCUACGCAGAGCCACGACGUGCGACGCCGUCUCGCGGCCGUGACACCACUGCUGCGAUUGACCACAAACCCAGAUGCGCUGUGGAUUGAACAACGAGGAACGGCGUACCAGUAUGGUGAGGAGGGCGCCGAAGCUCGACGACCACAUAUAGGCAUGAAAGGGCCGGGUAACUGCUCCUCAUUGUCUGUGGCGGCCGCAGCGUCUUCACGGGGCGGCCGGGGAAGCAGUGAGCCUGGGCCGUCACGGUCUGCGAGAUUCUCCCACACGCUCUCGUCCCCGCAUGCGGCUACGGCGACCACGACGGUGAUCGCAGCCGCGCCGCAGCUUUCACGAGCCGAUGUCGCCUUCAUGAAGCACCUUGGCACCGCGGCUGAGGUGCCACUGCCGGCAAAGCCCUCUCAUCAUCCGCACCAGCAGGAGCAGCAGCAGCUGCAGCCGCGCGCGUCGCCGGCAUCCGACAACGGAGUGAGCGACAGGGCACCGGCAGACCGAAAGCGGCGACGCCAGAAGGGGCAGAAUCCGCUGUCUAUGAAGAAGAAGCAGAGGCGAGAGGUGUUCCGCGCCCACUGAGUUAAAGUGGUCCGCCUCUGGCCGUCAUCUGCAUCUCAGACGCUCACGCACGCGUUCCCCGCCGCCUCAUCUGUACGCAGUCACCGCCGGCGCGUGCGCUGUAUCGUGUGUGCGUGCGUGCGCGCGUGUGUAUUGUUGUGCCGUUACAGCCUCACUUCGCACUUGCGGCUGCUUUUUCUCGUCCCUCCCUCGCGUCUAUCGCUCUUCCUAGUCCCGAACUGCUGCGCUUCUUCUCCACGCGGAGGGGUCGUCGGCGAGGACACCCGAGAGGGCGCUUGCAGCGCCGCAUAUGCGAGCGAAAUGUGGACCAGGGAGGGGGAGGGGCUUCCUUCGACAUCGACCCAACCUCGUCUGCGUGACGGCGUCGUUCGUUUACGCUGAUAGCAACGACGUAAUAAUAAAAAAAAACGAGGAGGAUCAGCAUUGCGUGCCGCUUCCAGGUGCUUGGUGUGUGGUGGUGGUGGUGUGCUCGCGCAUGAAGCAAGAGCAGAGAGAGAGGACGAGAGAUCGGCGGACGAAAAGCGUCGAAAUCGUCUUCGCUUGCCGGCCCACACAUCAGUG
RNAcentral lists this unclassified non-coding RNA (2565 nucleotides) under Leishmania donovani. RNAcentral's name for it is "gene:LdHU3.12.0580(CDS-product:hypothetical_prote in_conserved)". Lineage: Eukaryota; Euglenozoa; Kinetoplastea; Trypanosomatida; Trypanosomatidae. The record is from RNAcentral.